This 429-nucleotide long non-coding RNA is filed under the name Carica papaya (papaya). RNAcentral describes it as "long non-coding RNA (CPAP_LNC005431)". The record is from RNAcentral. Lineage: Eukaryota; Viridiplantae; Streptophyta; Magnoliopsida; Brassicales; Caricaceae.
UACCAGUCAGUCCCGUUGGUCCCCCGCGCUAUCUGCGGCGCUCUACAAGAUCGAUGGUUGGGGCGCGCCGUAUUUCUCUGUCAAUACCUCCGGCAAUAUCUCCGUUCGCCCACAUGGUGCGGAAACUCUGCCGCACCAGGAGAUUGACCUGCUCAAGAUUGUGAAGAAAGUUUCGGAUCCGAAAUCGGUGGGCGGGCUAGGGUUGCAGCUCCCGCUUAUCGUGCGACUGCCCGACGUGCUCAAGAACCGGCUCGAGUCCCUGCAGUCGGCUUUCGACUACGCGAUUCAAUCUCAAGGGUACGAGGCUCAUUAUCAAGGUGUUUAUCCUGUGAAAUGCAAUCAGGACCGGUUCGUUGUGGAGGAUAUCGUGAGGUUUGGGACCCCAUUCCGGUUUGGGUUGGAGGCCGGGUCAAAGCCCGAGCUCCUCCU